Non-coding RNA from Podarcis lilfordi (Lilford's wall lizard), 109 nucleotides. NCBI's taxonomy places the organism in Eukaryota, Metazoa, Chordata, Lepidosauria, Squamata, Lacertidae. The record is from the annotation of a GenBank genome assembly.
GUGCUCGCUUCGGCAGCACAUAUACUAAAAUUGGAACGAUACAGAGAAGAUUAGCAUGGCCCCAGACAGUUAAAUCUUACUUUAACACUGGGAGAAGGAACAAAGUCCU